ACGAACGCUGGCGGCGUGCUUCACACAUGCAAGUCGAACGGAAAGGCCCUGCUUUUGUGGGGUGCUCGAGUGGCGAACGGGUGAGUAACACGUGAGUAACCUGCCCUUGACUUUGGGAUAACUUCAGGAAACUGGGGCUAAUACCGGAUAGGAGCUCCUGCUGCAUGGUGGGGGUUGGAAAGUUUCGGCGGUUGGGGAUGGACUCGCGGCUUAUCAGCUUGUUGGUGGGGUAGUGGCUUACCAAGGCUUUGACGGGUAGCCGGCCUGAGAGGGUGACCGGCCACAUUGGGACUGAGAUACGGCCCAAACUCCUACGGGAGGCAGCAGUGGGGAAUAUUGCACAAUGGGCGGAAGCCUGAUGCAGCAACGCCGCGUGCGGGAUGACGGCCUUCGGGUUGUAAACCGCUUUCGCCUGUGACGAAGCGUGAGUGACGGUAAUGGGUAAAGAAGCACCGGCUAACUACGUG
This 467-nucleotide ribosomal RNA is filed under the name uncultured bacterium. Its description in RNAcentral is "partial 16S ribosomal RNA". It matches the Rfam family "Bacterial small subunit ribosomal RNA", at positions 29 to 507 of the family's 1533-position model. The record is from RNAcentral.